RNAcentral lists this ribosomal RNA (464 nucleotides) under uncultured bacterium. RNAcentral's name for it is "partial 16S ribosomal RNA". It matches the Rfam family "Bacterial small subunit ribosomal RNA", at positions 29 to 507 of the family's 1533-position model. The record is from RNAcentral.
ACGAACGCUGGCGGCGUGCUUAACACCUGCAAGUCGAACGGUAAGGCUCCAGCUUGCUGGGGUACACGAGUGGCGAACGGGUGAGUAACACGUGGGUGACCUGCCCUGCACUUCGGGAUAAGCCUGGGAAACUGGGUCUAAUACCGGAUAGGACCGCACCGUGAGGGUGUGGUGGAAAGUUUUUUCGGUGUGGGAUGGGCCCGCGGCCUAUCAGCUUGUUGGUGGGGUAAUGGCCUACCAAGGCGGCGACGGGUAGCCGGCCUGAGAGGGUGGACGGCCACAUUGGGACUGAGACACGGCCCAGACUCCUACGGGAGGCAGCAGUGGGGAAUAUUGCACAAUGGGCGGAAGCCUGAUGCAGCGACGCCGCGUGGGGGAUGACGGCCUUCGGGUUGUAAACUCCUUUCACCAUCGACGAAGGGUUUCUGACGGUAGAUGGAGAAGAAGCACCGGCUAACUACGUG